This 303-nucleotide long non-coding RNA is filed under the name Salvia miltiorrhiza (redroot sage). Its description in RNAcentral is "long non-coding RNA (SMIL_LNC009048)". The record is from RNAcentral. Lineage: Eukaryota; Viridiplantae; Streptophyta; Magnoliopsida; Lamiales; Lamiaceae.
AAAAAAUUCGAAUUUUUAAAUGUGUGCAAUAGGAUUUGAACUCAUGACCUUUGAAAGAAAGAAUGAGACCUUAUCCACUGCACCAAGUCACAACUUGUGAUAAUUUAAUAACAAAAAAAAAAUUAUAGACACAUGUAAUUUAUAUUAAAAAAAAAGAACAAUGAUAAUAAAUUAAUUCCCAACCUAGACAACAAUAUUAACUCACAUUAUAGCCAAAACCCAAAAACAACAAUAAUAAGUCAAUUACUUUCAAUCCAUAAAAAAAUCUAAUAAAAUUAAUCUAAACUCCACCAACAAGGCAAC